RNAcentral lists this ribosomal RNA (398 nucleotides) under uncultured bacterium. RNAcentral describes it as "bacterial SSU rRNA". It matches the Rfam family "Bacterial small subunit ribosomal RNA", at positions 30 to 428 of the family's 1533-position model. The record is from RNAcentral.
AUUGAACGCUGGCGGCAUGCCUUACACAUGCAAGUCGAACGGCAGCACGGGAGCUUGCUCCUGGUGGCGAGUGGCGAACGGGUGAGUAAUACAUCGGAACGUACCCUGAAGUGGGGGAUAACGUAGCGAAAGUUACGCUAAUACCGCAUAUUCUGUGAGCAGGAAAGAGGGGGACCGCAAGACCUCUUGCUUUAGGAGCGGCCGAUGUCGGAUUAGCUAGUUGGUGAGGUAAAGGCUCACCAAGGCGACGAUCCGUAGCGGGUCUGAGAGGAUGAUCCGCCACACUGGGACUGAGACACGGCCCAGACUCCUACGGGAGGCAGCAGUGGGGAAUUUUGGACAAUGGGCGCAAGCCUGAUCCAGCCAUGCCGCGUGAGUGAAGAAGGCCUCGGUUGUAA